ACGAACUCUGGUAUUGAUUGGUGCUUGCAUCAUGAUUUACAUUUGAGUGAGUGGCGAACUGGUGAGUAACACGUGGGAAACCUGCCCAGAAGCGGGGGAUAACACCUGGAAACAGAUGCUAAUACCGCAUAACAACUUGGACCGCAUGGUCCGAGUUUGAAAGAUGGCUUCGGCUAUCACUUUUGGAUGGUCCCGCGGCGUAUUAGCUAGAUGGUGAGGUAACGGCUCACCAUGGCAAUGAUACGUAGCCGACCUGAGAGGGUAAUCGGCCACAUUGGGACUGAGACACGGCCCAAACUCCUACGGGAGGCAGCAGUAGGGAAUCUUCCACAAUGGACGAAAGUCUGAUGGAGCAACGCCGCGUGAGUGAAGAAGGGUUUCGGCUCGUAAAACUCUGUUGUUAAAGAAGAACAUAUCUGAGAGUAACUGUUCAGGUAUUGACGGUAUUUAACCAGAAAGCCACGGCUAACUACGUGCCAGCAGCCGCGGUAAUACGUAGGUGGCAAGCGUUGUCCGGAUUUAUUGGGCGUAAAGCGAGCGCAGGCGGUUUUUUAAGUCUGAUGUGAAAGCCUUCGGCUCAACCGAAGAAGUGCAUCGGAAACUGGGAAACUUGAGUGCAGAAGAGGACAGUGGAACUCCAUGUGUAGCGGUGAAAUGCGUAGAUAUAUGGAAGAACACCAGUGGCGAAGGCGGCUGUCUGGUCUGUAACUGACGCUGAGGCUCGAAAGUAUGGGUAGCAAACAGGAUUAGAUACCCUGGUAGUCCAUACCGUAAACGAUGAAUGCUAAGUGUUGGAGGGUUUCCGCCCUUCAGUGCUGCAGCUAACGCAUUAAGCAUUCCGCCUGGGGAGUACGGCCGCAAGGCUGAAACUCAAAGGAAUUGACGGGGGCCCGCACAAGCGGUGGAGCAUGUGGUUUAAUUCGAAGCUACGCGAAGAACCUUACCAGGUCUUGACAUACUAUGCAAAUCUAAGAGAUUAGACGUUCCCUUCGGGGACAUGGAUACAGGUGGUGCAUGGUUGUCGUCAGCUCGUGUCGUGAGAUGUUGGGUUAAGUCCCGCAACGAGCGCAACCCUUAUUAUCAGUUGCCAGCAUUAAGUUGGGCACUCUGGUGAGACUGCCGGUGACAAACCGGAGGAAGGUGGGGAUGACGUCAAAUCAUCAUGCCCCUUAUGACCUGGGCUACACACGUGCUACAAUGGAUGGUACAACGAGUUGCGAACUCGCGAGAGUAAGCUAAUCUCUUAAAGCCAUUCUCAGUUCGGAUUGUAGGCUGCAACUCGCCUACAUGAAGUCGGAAUCGCUAGUAAUCGCGGAUCAGCAUGCCGCGGUGAAUACGUUCCCGGGCCUUGUACACACCGCCCGUCACACCAUGAGAGUUUGUAACACCCAAAGUCGGUGGGGUAACCUUUUAGGAACCAGCCGCCUAAGGUGGGACAGAUGAUUAG
Molecule: ribosomal RNA, 1447 nt
Filed under: Lactiplantibacillus plantarum
Lineage: Bacteria; Bacillati; Bacillota; Bacilli; Lactobacillales; Lactobacillaceae
Description: bacterial SSU rRNA
Rfam family: Bacterial small subunit ribosomal RNA
Source: RNAcentral